AACGAACGCUGGCGGCAUGCCUAACACAUGCAAGUCGAACGAGACCUUCGGGUCUAGUGGCGCACGGGUGCGUAACGCGUGGGAACCUGCCCUUAGGUUCGGAAUAACUCCCCGAAAGGGGUGCUAAUACCGGAUAAUGUCUUCGGACCAAAGAUUUAUCGCCUUUGGAUGGGCCCGCGUUGGAUUAGCUAGUUGGUAGGGUAAAAGCCUACCAAGGCGACGAUCCAUAGCUGGUCUGAGAGGAUGAUCAGCCACACUGGGACUGAGACACGGCCCAGACUCCUACGGGAGGGAGCAGUGGGGAAUAUGGGAAAGUGGGCGAAAGCCUUACCCAGCAAGGCCGCGGGAGUGAUGAAGGCCUUGGGGUUUUAAAGCUCUUUUACCCGGGAUAAUAAUGAAAGGACCGGGGGAAAAAGCCCCGGCUAACUCCGU
This 432-nucleotide ribosomal RNA is filed under the name uncultured bacterium. Its description in RNAcentral is "partial 16S ribosomal RNA". It matches the Rfam family "Bacterial small subunit ribosomal RNA", at positions 29 to 506 of the family's 1533-position model. The record is from RNAcentral.